RNAcentral lists this ribosomal RNA (1237 nucleotides) under Pseudodyscrasis scutellaris. RNAcentral describes it as "partial 16S ribosomal RNA". The record is from RNAcentral. Lineage: Eukaryota; Metazoa; Arthropoda; Insecta; Diptera; Ulidiidae.
UCAAUAUAAAUUGAUUAGUAUUUAUUUAUUGAUUUUAUUUAUUUAGUAUAUAAUUUAUUAAAAAUAAUUGUAAAGUGUGUUGUUUUAGUAAUUUUUAAUGAACAAAUAAUUUUAGUUGUAGUGAAUUAGUACUGUGAAGGAAGAUUGAAAUAGGUUGAAAAAUAGUUAUUUUAAAAGAAGGUUUAAUUUAUUGUACCUUGUGUAUCAGGGUUUAUCAAAUAGAUAACAUAUACCUAUGUUUUUCUCGAUUUUGUAAGAGUUAGUAGUUUAUGAGAGUUAAUGUGUCAAAAUUAUUCUUAAUAAGCUAUUAGAAAUGAAAUGUUAUUCGUUUACGAAGGUAUCUAGUUUUUUUAGAAAUAAAUUUAAUUUAUUGGUUUUAAAUUUUUAACCUUUUUUUUAGGGGAAAAAUUUUUUAAUCAGAAUUUUCUAAGGGAUAAGCUUUGGAAAAUAUUUUUAAAAGUGUAAAUUUGUUAAUAAAAAUGUAUGCAUAGAAUUUGUAAUCAUUGUUAAGUUUGUUAUAAAUUAUUUUUGGUUUCUAUUAUUUAUUUUUCUUUAAGUUUGUAUAAAAAUUUUCAUUUUAAUUGGUAAGAUGAAGUAAAAAUGGUGUAAUUAGUAUAUUUUUUUGUGUAAAUAAUAUUAUUUGAGAAGUUUAUGUAAAGAAUUCGGCAAAUAAAUUAUGCCCGCCUGUUUAACAAAAACAUGUCUUUUUGAGUUAUUUUUAAAGUCUGACCUGCCCAAUGAAUAAUUUUGAAUGGCCGCAGUAUACUAACUGUGCAAAGGUAGCAUAAUCAUUAGUCUUUUAAUUGGAGGCUGGUAUGAAUGGUUGGACGAGGUAUAAACUGUUUCAUGUAAAUUUAUUAUAGAAUUUUAUUUUUUAGUUAAAAAGCUAAAAUUUUAUUAAAAGACGAGAAGACCCUAUAAAUCUUUAUAUUUAUUUUAGUUCAAGUUUUUUGGAUUUAUUUUGUUUUUAUUAAUAUAAAUAUUUUAUUGGGGUGAUAUUAAAAUUUAAUUAACUUUUAAUUUUUAGAGGCAUUGAUUUAUGAAUAAUUGAUCCAUUAAUAGUGAUUAUAAGUUUAAGUUACUUUAGGGAUAACAGCGUAAUUUUUUUGGAGAGUUCAUAUCGAUAAAAAAGAUUGCGACCUCGAUGUUGGAUUAAGGUAUAUUUUUAGGUGUAGCCGCUUAAAUUUUGAGUCUGUUCGACUUUUAGACCCUUACAUGAUCUGAGUUCAAACCGGUG